CCUUGCUUGAUCUCCUCUUCUUCUCUUCUUCUCUUCUUCUUCUCUCAAAACCCUCACUCUCACUCCUUUUAAAAUGGUAAAACUGAUCAAAAUGAUCAGCCUAACACAUUUAUAUAACCAAAAUAAAAGGCUAGGGAAAAGACCAAAAUGCCCUUAAUGAUUCCCGGACGGAUUUUCUUGUCAACUGCCCAACUUUCAAAGGGCCAUAACUCGCUCAUACGAACUCGGAAUUGAGCAAACUCGGCGGCGUUGGAAAGAUCAUUCCACAAGCUUCAAAACCAUAACUGGAAAUACUCCUAACUCGUCCUGAGCUAGGAGUUACGACUGUUCAAAGUUGGCCAAAAUUCACUGAUUUCCAUACUUAGCAAAAUUUCCAAAACUUUAAAAUUCUUUCCAAAAAUGAAAAUUUCCAAUUCUAAG
Molecule: long non-coding RNA, 420 nt
Filed under: Solanum tuberosum (potato)
Lineage: Eukaryota; Viridiplantae; Streptophyta; Magnoliopsida; Solanales; Solanaceae
Description: long non-coding RNA (STUB_LNC009180)
Source: RNAcentral